Molecule: ribosomal RNA, 508 nt
Filed under: uncultured glomeraceous AM fungus
Lineage: Eukaryota; Fungi; Glomeromycota; Glomeromycetes; Glomerales; Glomeraceae
Description: SSU rRNA
Rfam family: Eukaryotic small subunit ribosomal RNA
Source: RNAcentral
AGCAGCCGCGGUAAUUCCAGCUCCAAUAGCGUAUAUUAAAGUUGUUGCAGUUAAAAAGCUCGUAGUUGAAUUUCGGGGUUAGUAGGUUGGUCAUGCCUCUGGUAUGUACUGGUCUCACUGAUUCCUCCUUCCUGAUGAACCUUAAUGCCAUUAAUUUGGUGUUUUGGGGAAUUUGGACUGUUACUUUGAAAAAAUUAGAGUGUUUAAAGCAAGCUAACGCUUGAAUACAUUAGCAUGGAAUAAUGAAAUAGGACGUUCGAUCCUAUUUUGUUGGUUUCUAGGAUUGACGUAAUGAUUAAUAGGGAUAGUUGGGGGCAUUAGUAUUCAAUUGUCAGAGGUGAAAUUCUUGGAUUUAUUGAAGACUAACUACUGCGAAAGCAUUUGCCAAGGAUGUUUUCAUUAAUCAAGAACGAAAGUUAGGGGAUCGAAGACGAUCAGAUACCGUCGUAGUCUUAACCAUAAACUAUGCCGACUAGGGAUCGGAUGAUGUUAAUUUUCUAAUGACUCA